GGCGAAUAUAGCUCAAUGGUAGAGUAUCAGUUUGUGAAUCUGGAUGUUAUGGGUUCAAUUCCCGUUAUUCGCC
RNAcentral lists this transfer RNA (73 nucleotides) under Glaucocystis nostochinearum. Its description in RNAcentral is "tRNA-His". It matches the Rfam family "tRNA". Rfam says of the family: Transfer RNA (tRNA) molecules are approximately 80 nucleotides in length. Lineage: Eukaryota; Glaucocystophyceae; Glaucocystales; Glaucocystaceae. The record is from RNAcentral.